This 255-nucleotide ribosomal RNA is filed under the name uncultured bacterium. RNAcentral's name for it is "partial 16S ribosomal RNA". It matches the Rfam family "Bacterial small subunit ribosomal RNA", at positions 524 to 776 of the family's 1533-position model. The record is from RNAcentral.
GACAUAGGUUGCGAACGUUAUCCGGAAUUAUUGGGCGUAAAGGGUGCGUAGGUGGUUUGAUAAGUUAUCUGUGGCAAAUCGGGGCUCAACCUCGUGGAAGCUGGUAAUACUGUCAUACUCGAGUGCAGGAGAGGUUAACGGAACUCUAUGUGGAGCGGUAAAAUGUGACGAUAUAUAGAAGAGCACCAAUAAGGCGAAGGCAGUUAACUGGACUGGUACUGACAUUGAGGCAUGAAAGCGUGGGGAGCAAAACGG